This 364-nucleotide unclassified non-coding RNA is filed under the name uncultured Chloroflexota bacterium. Its description in RNAcentral is "uncultured Chloroflexi bacterium contains 16S-23S intergenic spacer region". Lineage: Bacteria; Bacillati; Chloroflexota. The record is from RNAcentral.
UCCGGGUUGGUCCCGGCGGUCCCGCUAGACAUGGUAACUAGCGGCGGGGGUUGCGCUCGUUGCGGGACUUAACCCAACACCUCACGGCACGAGCUGACGACAGCCGUGCAGCACCUGUGCCGGCUCCCUCGCGGGUCCCGCCCCUUUCAGGUUGGUACCACCGGCAUGUCAUGCCCGGGUAAGGUUCUUCGCGUUGCAUCGAAUUAAACCACACGCUCCGCUGCUUGUGCGGGCCCCCGUCAAUUCCUUUGAGUUUUAGCCUUGCGGCCGUAGUCCCCAGGCGGGGUGCUUAUCGCGUUAGCUGCGGCACCGAGGGGGUCGAUACCCCCGACACCUAGCACCCAUCGUUUACAGCGUGGACUAC